This 168-nucleotide ribosomal RNA is filed under the name uncultured rumen bacterium. RNAcentral's name for it is "partial 16S ribosomal RNA". It matches the Rfam family "Bacterial small subunit ribosomal RNA", at positions 340 to 524 of the family's 1533-position model. The record is from RNAcentral.
UACGGGAGGCAGCAGUGGGGGAUAUUGCGCAAUGGGGGCAACCCUGACGCAGCAACGCCGCGUGAAGGAUGAAGGUUUUCGGAUUGUAAACUUCUUUUGUUAGGGACGAAUAAUGACGGUACCUAACGAAUAAGCUCCGGCUAACUACGUGCCAGCAGCCGCGGUAAU